RNAcentral lists this ribosomal RNA (451 nucleotides) under Veillonella parvula. RNAcentral's name for it is "bacterial SSU rRNA". It matches the Rfam family "Bacterial small subunit ribosomal RNA", at positions 28 to 454 of the family's 1533-position model. Lineage: Bacteria; Bacillati; Bacillota; Negativicutes; Veillonellales; Veillonellaceae. The record is from RNAcentral.
GACGAACGCUGGCGGCGUGCUUAACACAUGCAAGUCGAACGAAGAGCGAUGGAAGCUUGCUUCUAUCAAUCUUAGAGGCGAACGGGUGAGUAACGCGUAAUCAACCUGCCCUUCAGAGGGGGACAACAGUUGGAAACGACUGCUAAUACCGCAUACGAUCUAACCUCGGCAUCGAGGAUAGAUGAAAGGUGGCCUCUACAUGUAAGCUAUCACUGAAGGAGGGGAUUGCGUCUGAUUAGCUAGUUGGAGGGGUAACGGCCCACCAAGGCGAUGAUCAGUAGCCGGUCUGAGAGGAUGAACGGCCACAUUGGGACUGAGACACGGCCCAGACUCCUACGGGAGGCAGCAGUGGGGAAUCUUCCGCAAUGGACGAAAGUCUGACGGAGCAACGCCGCGUGAGUGAUGACGGCCUUUCGGGGUUGUAAAGCUCUGUUAAUCGGGACGAAAGGCC